RNAcentral lists this ribosomal RNA (253 nucleotides) under uncultured bacterium. RNAcentral's name for it is "partial 16S ribosomal RNA". It matches the Rfam family "Bacterial small subunit ribosomal RNA", at positions 524 to 776 of the family's 1533-position model. The record is from RNAcentral.
UACGAAGGGGGCUAGCGUUGUUCGGAUUUACUGGGCGUAAAGCGCACGUAGGCGGAUUGGUCAGUUAGAGGUGAAAUCCUGGAGCUCAACUCCAGAACUGCCUUUAAUACUGCCAGUCUCGAGUCCGGAAGAGGUGAGUGGAACUCCUAGUGUAGAGGUGGAAUUCGUAGAUAUUAGGAAGAACACCAGUGGCGAAGGCGGCUCACUGGUCCGGUACUGACGCUGAGGUGCGAAAGCGUGGGGAGCAAACAGG